AAAAAGGCAAACCCUGAGUUUUCGUGUCCAACUUUGACUGUCUGUCUUAUAUGAAAUUUUUUUAUAAUUCGUAUUUUUAUUGUUGUUAGAUGAUAAAACAUGAUUAAUAUUUUAUGUGUGACUUGUCUUUUUAAUUUUUUUCGUAAUUUUUUUAAAUAAGACGGACGGUCAAACGUUGGGCACGGAAACCAGGGUUUGUCUUUUU
This 205-nucleotide microRNA precursor is filed under the name Oryza sativa Japonica Group (Japanese rice). RNAcentral describes it as "MIR812 microRNA precursor family". It matches the Rfam family "MIR812 microRNA precursor family". The record is from Rfam by way of RNAcentral. Lineage: Eukaryota; Viridiplantae; Streptophyta; Magnoliopsida; Poales; Poaceae.